This 252-nucleotide ribosomal RNA is filed under the name uncultured bacterium. Its description in RNAcentral is "partial 16S ribosomal RNA". It matches the Rfam family "Bacterial small subunit ribosomal RNA", at positions 524 to 776 of the family's 1533-position model. The record is from RNAcentral.
UACAGAGGGGGCAAGCGUUGUUCGGAAUUACUGGGCGUAAAGGGCGCGUAGGCGGCCUUCUAAGUCGAACGUGAAAUCCCCGGGCUCAACCCGGGAACUGCGUCCGAUACUGGAAGGCUUGAAUCCGGGAGAGGGAUGCGGAAUUCCAGGUGUAGCGGUGAAAUGCGUAGAUAUCUGGAGGAACACCGGUGGCGAAGGCGCAUCCUGGACCGGCAUUGACGCUGAGGCGCGAAAGCCAGGGGAGCAAACGGG